GACGAACGCUGGCGGCGUGCCUAAUACAUGCAAGUCGAGCGAAUCAGCAGGAGCUUGCUCCUGUUGGUUAGCGGCGGACGGGUGAGUAACACGUGGGCAACCUGCCUGUAAGACUGGGAUAACACCGGGAAACCGGUGCUAAUACCGGAUAAUCCUUUUCCUCUCAUGAGGAAAAGCUGAAAGUCGGUUUCGGCUGACACUUACAGAUGGGCCCGCGGCGCAUUAGCUAGUUGGUGAGGUAACGGCUCACCAAGGCGACGAUGCGUAGCCGACCUGAGAGGGUGAUCGGCCACACUGGGACUGAGACACGGCCCAGACUCCUACGGGAGGCAGCAGUAGGGAAUCUUCCACAAUGGACGAAAGUCUGAUGGAGCAACGCCGCGUGAGCGAUGAAGGCCUUCGGGUCGUAAAGCUCUGUUGUUAGGGAAGAACAAGUACCGGAGUAACUGCCGGUACCUUGACGGUACCUAACCAGAAAGCCACGGCUAACUACGUGCCAGCAGCCGCCGUAA
This 512-nucleotide ribosomal RNA is filed under the name uncultured bacterium. RNAcentral's name for it is "partial 16S ribosomal RNA". It matches the Rfam family "Bacterial small subunit ribosomal RNA", at positions 28 to 523 of the family's 1533-position model. The record is from RNAcentral.